RNAcentral lists this transfer RNA (72 nucleotides) under Armatimonas rosea. It matches the Rfam family "tRNA". Rfam says of the family: Transfer RNA (tRNA) molecules are approximately 80 nucleotides in length. Their secondary structure includes four short double-helical elements and three loops (D, anti-codon, and T loops). Lineage: Bacteria; Bacillati; Armatimonadota; Armatimonadia; Armatimonadales; Armatimonadaceae. The record is from Rfam by way of RNAcentral.
AGGGGUGUGGCGCAAUGGUAGCGCAGUGGACUCCAAAUCCAAAGGUUGCAGGUUCGAGUCCUGUCACCCCUG